UCCAAACAAUUCAGGCAUUCUUCUUGAAUUGGUCACAGAUCUUUUCGAUAAAACUGCCAUUUCAAUCCAAAGUGGGUUGGCAAAUGUGGGCACCAUUGAAUUUGGGCUUGCGUCAUUGUUCGUUGCUCCAGAGACCAAUUUCCCUUUCGAAAUGCUAGCGCUUAUUGCUUCUUUCAGCGACAAUCCAUGGCAGUCUGGUUCAGUAUUUGGAGUAUGCUUCAUGUUCUGCCAUGAUUUGUUGAACUCCACCAAGCUUUUAGUUCCUCCUGGAGAUCCUUCAAGUUCCCGAAUGAGGUCCAAUGCAAACUCUGUCCGGUUCUCGUUUUCCGGUAUCGGAUGACCAAACUCGGCGAAGAACGACGGCAAAUGCAUCGGAGGUCCACUGUAAACGGUUUGGCCACGAGACAGAAAUAUCAACCGAUCUAGCAAACCAAGAAUCCGAUAACUCGGCUGGUGUACGGACAUGAUAACUAUACUCCCAGUCUGUGCUAUCCUCUGCAAAACCUUCACCACCAUAAACGCACUGGUGGAGUCCAAACCGGACGUCGGUUCAUCCAAGAACAGUAUAAUUGGGUCAUGGAUUAUAUCUAUUCCAAUCGAAACACGACGUCGUUCUCCUCCAGAGACCCCUCGGUGACCUUCGUCUCCUAUGACUGUUUUGGCUGCGUUUCGCAGCCCUAACUGAUCGAUGAGAGCUUGGACUCGCAUUUUCUUCUUCGAUUUUGAUAAGCUUCUCGGCAGCCGGAAUUCAGCAGCGAACAUGAGCGUUUCUUCGACGGUGAGCAUUGGGAAUAGUAAAUCAUCUUGCAUCACGUAAGCUGAUAUCACUUUCAACAUCCGCGAUUCCAAAACUUCACCGUUUAAUGUUAUCGUCCCUUUCAAGCUCCCCUUGGCUAUCCGGUUGGCUAAUGCGUCGAUCAACGUUGAUUUUCCCGAUCCACUGGCUCCAAGCACAGCGAGAAUCUCUCCAUCGCGAGCCUCACCGGAGAUGUCAUUAAGUAAAGUCUUCGUUGUAGUAAACAUGCUUUCUCCAACCACAGGCUCAGCAGCCGUGGCAGGUCCAAGGUGGUGGCGGCGGCGGCGGCCCCGAUUGAGUACACUCGGUAAGUUCAUUUUCCGGCUGACUUUGACGCUGUAGGUGAGGUUAUUGAACGAGAGAAUGAAAGGAAUAGACCUCGGUGGCUCCAUAUUUGUAUCACCGAGCUCAAGCACUUGGUGAACCGGCGUUUCACUUCCAUCACCAGUAGCUUCUUUCCGAACAUCACCAACGCGCUUAAGCAACCGGCCAAGAGUGGGAGGGCAAUCAAGAUCCAUACUCUGAGUGUAAAACGGCGGCGUAUCAAUAGUGGGAGAGAAAUUCCCCGCUACAACGCGAGGCAUAAUAUUAUAUAACGAGCUGCUUAUAGAGAGAAGAGAAAGAGAGAGGGAUAACGUUGACGGAGUGAUGAAGCAGGUUGGAGAAUUAUGAGUUGCGCUGGUAUAACGGUGAUGGCGAUUGGAGAGAGAUAACGGCGCUGGGAAACAGCGUUGAAGACGGGUAGUGUG
This 1545-nucleotide unclassified non-coding RNA is filed under the name Hevea brasiliensis (rubber tree). Lineage: Eukaryota; Viridiplantae; Streptophyta; Magnoliopsida; Malpighiales; Euphorbiaceae. The record is from RNAcentral.